UGUGAGUCGUUGUAGCAAUACAAGGCAUACGGCUCAGUAACACGUAGUCAAUCUAACCUAUGGACGGGGAUAACCUCGGGAAACUGAGGAUAAUACCUGAUAGAUCAUAAUGCCUGGAACGGUUUAUGGUCCAAAUGAUUCGUCGCCGUAGGGUGGGACUGCGGCCUAUCAGCUUGUUGGUGAGGUAAUGGCCCACCAAGGCUAUUACAGGUACGGGCUCUGAGAGGAGUAGCCCGGAGAUGGGUACUGAGACACGGACCCAGGCCCUAUGGGGCGCAGCAGGCGAGAAACCUUUGCAAUGUGCGCAAGCACGACAAGGUUAAUCCGAGUGUUUCCUGCUAAAGGAAUCUUUUGUUAGUUCUAAAACCACUGAUGAAUAAGGGGUGGGCAAGUUCUGGUGUCAGCCGCCGCGGUAAAACCAGCACCUCAAGUGGUCAGGAUGAUUAUUGGGCCUAAAGCAUCCGUAGCCUGUUCUGAAAGUUUCCGGUUAAAUCCAUUAACUCAACUAAUGGGCUGCCGAAAAUACUGCAGAACUAGGGAGUGGGAGAGGUAGACGGUACUCGGUAGGAAGGGGUAAAAUCCUUUGAUCUAUUGAUGACCACCUGUGGCGAAGGCGAUCUACCAGAACACGUUCGACGGUGAGGGAUGAAAGCUGGGGGAGCAAACCGGAUUAGAUACCCGGGUAGUCCCAGCUGUAAACGAUGCAAACUCGGUGAUGCCCUGGCUUGUGGCCAGUGCAGUGCCGC
This 746-nucleotide ribosomal RNA is filed under the name uncultured archaeon. RNAcentral's name for it is "bacterial SSU rRNA". It matches the Rfam family "Archaeal small subunit ribosomal RNA", at positions 52 to 804 of the family's 1478-position model. The record is from RNAcentral.